RNAcentral lists this long non-coding RNA (600 nucleotides) under Olea europaea (common olive). RNAcentral's name for it is "long non-coding RNA (OEUR_LNC014537)". Lineage: Eukaryota; Viridiplantae; Streptophyta; Magnoliopsida; Lamiales; Oleaceae. The record is from RNAcentral.
UUUGUUACUGCGAUUAAGUAAAAUCACUAUAUAUAUGAGAUAUUAUUAAUUGUAAUUAAGCAUGACAAAAAUUCAGAAGUUAAUUAUAUAUAUAAUUUAAUUUUAAUUCAAGUCAUGUUAUAUUUCUUUGAGUCGUGAGGGCACGCAUUCCAUCUUGAAAAACUCCAGCUACAGUCGGGUUUCAGCAGAAAAUUGGUUCCGUUAAUUUACCCAGUUGAAAAAAUGGGAUGUUAAAGAAAAAAUCUCUUUUAUUAUAAUUUGCAAUUUUAGUAAUAGGCGACCGAGAAAGUGGAAUAAUGUGGACUUUUUAUCCGCCAAAUGCAUGAGAUUCAUCCUCUUAGAAUUAGUGUGAUCCCAAUUCUAUUUGAAAUGCUAUAGGAAAUUCUAUUAGAUAAUUCUAAUUGAAAUUCAAUUUGAAAGCUUGGAAUUUGUGUUCAAUUUGAAGAAGUCAAGAUAUGGACCAUAGAGAAAUUUUUUUUUGAGUGGCGGCAUCAAAUUCUUUACAGCGAGUUGCCACCCACCGCGCGCUCAAGCGGCUUACGUAUCCGGCCGAAGUCCGUUUCGCAUUUUCAACAUCCUUUUCCAUUCUAAGGUUUUAAG